AUCAGGAUGGCUGAGUGGUUUAAGGCGCCAGACUCAAGUUCUGGUCUCCAAAUGGAGGCGUGGGUUCAAAUCCCACUUCUGACA
Bufo gargarizans (Asiatic toad) is the source of this 84-nucleotide non-coding RNA. NCBI's taxonomy places the organism in Eukaryota, Metazoa, Chordata, Amphibia, Anura, Bufonidae. The record is from the annotation of a RefSeq genome assembly.